AGAGUUUGAUCAUGGCUCAGGAUGAACGCUGGCGGCGUGCUUAACACAUGCAAGUCGAACGAACCUUCGGGUUAGUGGCGGACGGGUGAGUAACGCGUGGGAAUCUGCCCUCAGGAGGGGGAUAACGGCUGGAAACGGCCGCUAAUACCCCAUAUGCCGAGAGGUGAAAUGAAUUUCGCCUGAGGAUGAGCUCGCGUCUGAUUAGCUAGUUGGUGUAGGUAAAGGCUCACCAAGGCAUCGAUCAGUAGCUGGUCUGAGAGGAUGAUCAGCCACACUGGGACUGAGACACGGCCCAGACUCCUACGGGAGGCAGCAGUGGGGAAUUUUCCGCAAUGGGCGAAAGCCUGACGGAGCAACGCCGCGUGAGGGAUGAAGGCCUCUGGGCUGUAAACCUCUUUUAUCAAGGAAGAAGAUCUGACGGUACUUGAUGAAUAAGCCACGGCUAAUUCCGUGCCAGCAGCCGCGGUAAUACGGGAGUGGCAAGCGUUAUCCGGAAUUAUUGGGCGUAAAGCGUCCGCAGGCGGCCCAGAAAGUCUGCUGUUAAAACGUGGAGCUUAACUCCAUCAUGGCAGUGGAAACUGUUGGGCUUGAGUGUGGUAGGGGCAGAGGGAAUUCCCGGUGUAGCGGUGAAAUGCGUAGAUAUCGGGAAGAACACCAGUGGCGAAGGCGCUCUGCUGGGCCAUCACUGACGCUCAUGGACGAAAGCCAGGGGAGCGAAAGGGAUUAGAUACCCCUGUAGUCCUGGCCGUAAACGAUGAACACUAGUGUCGGGGGAAUCGACCCCCUCGGUGUCGUAGCCAACGCGUUAAGUGUUCCGCCUGGGGAGUACGCACGCAAGUGUGAAACUCAAGG
RNAcentral lists this ribosomal RNA (852 nucleotides) under uncultured bacterium. RNAcentral's name for it is "bacterial SSU rRNA". It matches the Rfam family "Bacterial small subunit ribosomal RNA", at positions 8 to 906 of the family's 1533-position model. The record is from RNAcentral.